UGGGGAAUAUUGGACAAUGGGCGAAAGCCUGAUCCAGCCAUGCCGCGUGUGUGAAGAAGGUCUUCGGAUUGUAAAGCACUUUAAGUUGGGAGGAAGGGCAUUAACCUAAUACGUUAGUGUUUUGACGUUACCGACAGAAUAAGCACCGGCUAACUCUGUGCCAGCAGCCGCGGUAAUACAGAGGGUGCAAGCGUUAAUCGGAAUUACUGGGCGUAAAGCGCGCGUAUGUGGUUUGUUAAGUUGGAGGUGAAAUCCCCGGGCUCAACCUGGGAACUGCAUUCAAAACUGACUGACUAGAGUAUGGUAGAGGGUGGUGGAAUUUCCUGUGUAGCGGUGAAAUGCGUAGAUAUAGGAAGGAACACCAGUGGCGAAGGCGACCACCUGGACUAAUACUGACACUGAGGUGCGAAAGCGUGGGGAGCAAACA
RNAcentral lists this ribosomal RNA (427 nucleotides) under uncultured bacterium. RNAcentral describes it as "partial 16S ribosomal RNA". It matches the Rfam family "Bacterial small subunit ribosomal RNA", at positions 355 to 774 of the family's 1533-position model. The record is from RNAcentral.